AUGGGUGGCUGCUACUCUGUCAUCGCGGCCUCCAGGCUGCUGGCCCGGAGGCGCGCCGCCGCCGCCAUCAUGCCCGUGGCCAGCGCCGACGACUGCCCGCCCGACAGCGACGCCAGCAGCAGCUGCUGCAAGAAGAAGCGCAGGUCGACCAAGUGGAGGCGGAGCGCGCCGAUCCUGGGCGACGACGACCAGUGCGCGCCCGGCGGGGAGGGCUUCGCCAAGCGGUACCGGCUAGGCGCGGAGCUGGGGCGCGGGGAGUUCGGGGUGACGCGCCGCUGCGAGGACGCGGCCACGGGCGAGGCGCUGGCGUGCAAGACCAUCCGCCGCAAGCGCCUGCGCCGCGCCGCCGACGCCGAGGACGUGCGGCGGGAGGUGGAGAUCCUGCGGCGCAUGUCGGCGCUCGAGGGAGCGGGCGGCGCCGUGGUGCGGCUCCGCGAGGCCUGCGAGGACCCCGAGGGCGUGCACCUGGUGAUGGAGCUGUGCGAGGGCGGCGAGCUCUUCGACCGCAUCUUCGCCCGGGGCCACUACACGGAGCGCGCCGCCGCCAAGAUCGGCCGCACCAUCGCCCACGUCGUGCAGCUGUGCCACGACAACGGGGUCAUGCACCGGGACCUCAAGCCCGAGAACUUCCUCUUCGCCGGCAAGGCCGAGGACUCGCCGCUCAAGGCCAUCGACUUCGGCCUCUCCGUCUACUUCGAGCCCGGGGAGCGCUUCACCGAGGUGGUCGGCAGCGGGAUCUACAUGGCGCCGGAGGUGCUCAUGAGGAGCUACGGCCCGGAGGCCGACGUCUGGAGCGCCGGCGUCAUCCUCUACAUCCUACUCUGCGGAGUGCCUCCGUUCUGGGGAGACAACGAUGAGCGCAUCGCCGAGUCGAUAAUCCGGGGUGAAAUCAACUUCGAGAGGGAGCCAUGGCCCAAGGUCUCCCAAACUGCAAAGGACCUUGUCAAGAAGAUGCUUGAUCAGGAUCCUGCUACCCGCUUGACGGCAAAGCAAGUCUUUGAGCAUCCGUGGAUCAAGAACGCCGACAAGGCUCCGAAUGUGUCGCUUGGAGCGCUUGUUCGAUCCAGGCUUAAGCAAUUCUCGUCCAUGAACAAGUUCAAAAAGAAGGCACUCGGAGUCGUUGCCAAGAAUUUACCGCCAGAGGACAUCGAGAACUACACUAAGAUGUUUCAAAUGAUGGACAAGGACAAGGACGGUACUUUGACGCUUGAGGAGCUCAAGGAGGGCUUGCGGAUAAACGGUCAUGCUGUUCCUGAGACAGAGAUACAGAUGCUGUUAGAAGCUGGUGACAUAGAUGGAAAUGGCACCUUGGACACUGACGAGUUUGUGACAGUCUUACUUCACAUCAAAAAAAUGAGUAAUGAGCAGUACCUACCUGAAGCUUUCAAAUACUUUGACAAAGAUGGCAAUGGAUAUAUUGAAAUGGAGGAAUUGAUGGAGGCUUUAGGUGAUGAUGAACUAGGCCCAGAUGAGCAAGUGGUUAAAGACAUUAUACGUGACGUUGACACGGAUGAGGAUGGUCGCAUUAGCUAUCAGGAGUUUGAAGUGAUGAUGAGAUCUGGCUCAGACUGGAGGAAUGCUUCUCGGCGGUACUCAACAGCAAAUUUCAGCAACCUCAGUCAGAAGCUGCGCCAAGGAGUUCUAUGA
RNAcentral lists this ribosomal RNA (1647 nucleotides) under Triticum aestivum (bread wheat). Its description in RNAcentral is "partial small subunit ribosomal RNA". Lineage: Eukaryota; Viridiplantae; Streptophyta; Magnoliopsida; Poales; Poaceae. The record is from RNAcentral.